This 2765-nucleotide long non-coding RNA is filed under the name Sus scrofa (pig). Its description in RNAcentral is "lncRNA (ENSSSCG00030064569.1, ENSSSCG00055020406.1)". Lineage: Eukaryota; Metazoa; Chordata; Mammalia; Artiodactyla; Suidae. The record is from RNAcentral.
GGCCAUUUAAAAUUAAUUGGUCAGAGAAGUUCUUUCUGAUAAGUUUAGCAGAGAACCAAAAAACAAGCGAGGAAACUAACCAUAAGGACAUCUAAGAGAUGUUCCAGGAAGAGGGACUAGUCAAUGCCAAGGCUUGAGAUAGACACGGUAUAUUGAGAACAGCAAAGAGAUCAAUACGGCUUGAAAAUGGGACGGAGGAGGAGACUUGCUGAUCAUUUAAGCCAGUGGGAUUAUAGUGUGAGCUGUAAAUGCAAGACAUAUAAUUUAAACUUUUUCUCCUGUAGCCACAUUUUUUAAAGGGUGAAAUUAAUUUUAACAAUGCUUUCAUUCAACUGGAUAUAUUCAAAAUAUUAUCAUGACAACAGGCAAUCAAUAUAAAAUUAUUACUGAGAAAAUUUACAUUAUUUUUAUCAGUACUAAGUCUUCCAAGACCAUGCUAUAUUUCACGCUUACAGCACUUUUCAAUUCAAACUAGCUACAUUUCAGAUGUUCAACAGACCCAUGUAACUAGUGUCUACUAUUUUAGGCAAUGUAUAUUCUGAGCCAUGAAGACAUUUGGAAAAAAAAUUUCUUUUAUUCUGAGUGACAAUGAAGGUGUCGAGUUGUGGUAUGGUUUUUACUGAUGUGCUACAAGGACAAACCAUGGGAAGAAAAAUUUAGAAAGAAACAAAGGUAGAUUCAUGGAAAGCAUUUAAGACAUUAUUGAAACUGCCCCAUCACUUUGGAAUAGAAGAAAAAUAUAAACAUCUUUUUCUUUUUUCCACACAGUGUCUGCACCUCCUCCUCCCUUGUAUUAAGUAAAAGCGCUGUGUACGUUUUUUAUGAGUUUAAUUUCAUAUUUAUUGAGAGACCUCUAGCUAUUUAUUUGUUCUUUCCCCAAGUCAGUGAAGUAAUUUUCUCAUACUCACUUUAAUUUUGAAGAUACAUUAUUUUUAGGAUGGAUAAUUUUCUGGGAAAUCUCUACAAGGACUAAGUUUUUUUAUUAAAACAAAGGAUAAAAUACUAUGUUCUAGGAAGGAUUUAAGAAAAAAAAUGAUGUGGCUAAAAGGGAAACUAAUGAUCACUGGUGAAAAACAAACAUAAAAAUGCAUACUAAAAUACAGACAGAUCUGUGUAUUAUAUUGGAAGAGAGAAUAGAGAAAUGUAAGUAAUUUCCAAUACUACUGGCUAAAAAUGCCUGAUAGGAUUGCUAUUCUGAACUAAAUGAGAGUGUUUCAAUUUAUAUACUUGGAAAGCACCUGAUAAAAUCUCUAUGAAGCACCUCAGUAGAUUUUGAGAAAAAUAGUAACAAAAUUUCAUAAAUUGUAAUGGUUUCCAGAAAAAGUACAAAACCAAUUGCCUGUCUUCUCCAAAUCCUUUACCUACUUCAAGUUUGCCUGUAUUUGACAAUCAUAACACGUGAAUCAUUUGUCUUCUCUGAGCUGAAGCUACUAGAACAUAAAGGAUCAUCUGAAUUCACCUGGAAGCAGACUUUUCCUAGGGGUUGUGUCCCUGGGUUUGGAAUGACAUUACUAUCACCCACCCAGAAAGCAAUUCUGGUACACCUAGAACCCUUCAUCAGACUGCUCUGCAAGUACUACACGAAGUGUUUAAAUUGGGAAGAAUGAGCAAGAAAUUUAAAAUCACAGACAAAGGUACAAAGGAGAUUCAAAGAGGGAUGUCAUAGUUUGGUCAGUCAUCAAAGUUAAAGAAUUCCAGCCAAACAUUUAUUUCCAUGAACCGUUAAGCCCUUCCAUGGACUCACCAAACACAGGCUGAUGGCUUCUACGUUUGAUGAGCUUACAGACUCUCCCAGAGCCAACAUUAUAGGGACCCUCAGUUUCAGGAUAUUAGACAUUUGGCCUUUCAUUUUCUUGCUAUGGCCAGCAGCUGUCUAGGGAUCCUGCUGGCGUCUGCUUCGGAUAUUACCUCCGAAUCAGUGGAGAUGAGAGUUAUUUGAUUAGCCACAAUUCAGGAUGGCGAGAAAUGAUGAGAUUUUCUUGUCACAUGAUAUGUUAUUUCAGAGAAUAAGAAAGGGUGAGUGAAGAAGAUUCUACUAAGGACUUUUCAGCAAAUCGAAGUUCCCAUCAUGGCACAGUGGAAACAAAUCCACCUAGGAACCAUGAGGUUGCGGCUUCAAUCCCUGGCCUUGCUCAGUGAGUUAAAGAUCCUUUGUUGCUGUGAGCUGUGGUGUAGAUCUCAGACAUGGCUCGGAUCUGGUGUUGCUGUGGCUGUGGCGUAGGCCAGUAGCUGUAGCUCCGAUUAGACCCCUAGCCUGGGAACCUCCAUAUGCCAUGGGUGUGGCCCUAAAAAUAAAAAAAUAAAUAGAUUUUUUUUCAGCAAAUUAAUUCAACCGUUCCAAAGAAAAGCAAAGCAAGAUCAGUAUCAUUUCGACCUACGUCACUCAACCUAAGAUCCAAAAGUGCCUGCUGAGUCAUCACAUUUUCAUGUGGAGUGUAUGUUACUGGACUACUGACAUUCUUGACAAUCUCCAAAUUCAAGAAUGCCACGCAAGAAGAUUUAUGAAGAGCAAGGAAGGGUUGAAAAUAAUGUCUCAUUCCAAUAUUUGUGUGUAUAUAUGACCAAGGCCACUCACUGGUUAAGUGCUUUACUCCCUUAUACAAAAAAUGAAGGGCUAAUAUAAUUUGAAUCUGUGCUUAGUAAAGUUACAAAUGUUCUCUGUUGCGGGCCUUCAGGCAUUUGGAACAUAGCUGAACUCUUCGGGAUAUUUACUGGUAUGUAAUUGGUAAUCUGUGGAACAGAUUCUUAAGACAAUGGUUUGCAUU